CUCAGCGAGGCCGAGGGGAGAAGCUUGUACUGCACAGGCACAGGAAUCAGACGACGGAGGGAAUCAAGUGAGAAGUGUUGCCGUAAACACAACGAUAACACUCCGAGAUCCUCGCAGGAGACGUGAGGGAGGGACCGAGGACCUGUGCUGUGGGAGUGUUAAUGCGUUUAUCAACGUCUUGGAGAUUCUGUGGAAAAUUACAUGUGGAUUUCACAUUCAACCUGACGAGGGAGAUGGCUAGCCACCCAUGACCCCGAUCUCUGCCUUGACCCAAGGAGUUGGAUCAAGAUCACCUUUUAUCCGGAGGAGCUCAUACAUUCUUCCAUCUCCAUCACUGGGUGUCACACUCCAGUAUGAUAGUAGUACCAUAAUGAUCUUUUCCACUUGACUUUUGACUUAGAAAGUACAUUUGUCAACUGAAACUGACUUGACUGACUAUUUUUGACUUAGAAAAACCAAACGGAUCACAAUAAAAGAUCAAGACUAAAUUGAACAGUUUAUAACAGAAGGAACAAAACUGAACGUAAAUAACAAAAACCAGUAGAAAUGUGUUAUUUUAUGUUGUCAGGGACACUUAGUUUCAUCUUUGGAUUGUUUUCAGAUGAUGUUAUCUUGUGAAACAUUGAAGUAACUGUGUUCUAACUCACUGGCUCUAAUUACACAUUAGUUACAGUGGUAGUAGACUGUACUUAGACACUAAGGAGGGGAUGACAGUGCAAACUUCAUAAUACAGCCCGGUUCUCCGUAGUUAGCAUGUACCUCCAGGAGAGCUAGAGUCUACUUACACACUAAGGAGGGGAUA
This is a long non-coding RNA of Epinephelus fuscoguttatus (brown-marbled grouper), 802 nucleotides long. RefSeq lists it as uncharacterized. The record is from RefSeq and is a predicted model, not a curated record. Lineage: Eukaryota; Metazoa; Chordata; Actinopteri; Perciformes; Serranidae. The transcript is spliced from 2 exons.